Molecule: ribosomal RNA, 253 nt
Filed under: uncultured bacterium
Lineage: Bacteria
Description: partial 16S ribosomal RNA
Rfam family: Bacterial small subunit ribosomal RNA
Source: RNAcentral
UACGUAGGAUGCAAGCGUUGUCCGGAAUUAUUGGGCGUAAAGAGCGCGCAGGCGGUAUGACAAGUCAGAUGUGAAAGAGGCCGGCUUAACCGGCAAGGGUCAUUUGAAACUGUCAGACUAGAGUGCAGCAGAGGAUAGUGGAAUUCCCGGUGUAGUGGUGAAACGCGUAGAUAUCGGGAGGAACACCAGUGGCGAAGGCGGCUUUCUGGACUGUAACUGACGCUGAGGCAUGAAAGCGUGGGGAGCAAACAGG